RNAcentral lists this ribosomal RNA (253 nucleotides) under uncultured bacterium. Its description in RNAcentral is "partial 16S ribosomal RNA". It matches the Rfam family "Bacterial small subunit ribosomal RNA", at positions 524 to 776 of the family's 1533-position model. The record is from RNAcentral.
GACGAACCGUGCGAACGUUAUUCGGAAUCACUGGGCUUAAAGGGCGCGCAGGCGGCUUAUUUUGUCAGGCGUGAAAGCCCCGGGCUUAACCUGGGAACUGCGUUUGAUACGGAUGGGCUAGAGUUCGGGAGAGGAGAGUGGAAUUCCCAGUGUAGAGGUGAAAUUCGUAGAUAUUGGGAAGAACACCGGUGGCGAAGGCGGCUCUCUGGACCGAGACUGACGCUGAGGCGCGAAAGCGUGGGGAGCAAACAGG